RNAcentral lists this ribosomal RNA (229 nucleotides) under uncultured bacterium. RNAcentral's name for it is "partial 16S ribosomal RNA". It matches the Rfam family "Bacterial small subunit ribosomal RNA", at positions 17 to 244 of the family's 1533-position model. The record is from RNAcentral.
GUAUGGCUCAGAUUGAACGCUGGCGGCAGGCCUAACACAUGCAAGUCGAGCGGUAGCACAGAGAGCUUGCUCUCGGGUGACGAGCGGCGGACGGGUGAGUAAUGUCUGGGAAACUGCCUGAUGGAGGGGGAUAACUACUGGAAACGGUAGCUAAUACCGCAUAAUGUCGCAAGACCAAAGUGGGGGACCUUCGGGCCUCAUGCCAUCAGAUGUGCCCAGAUGGGAUUAG